RNAcentral lists this ribosomal RNA (511 nucleotides) under uncultured bacterium. Its description in RNAcentral is "partial 16S ribosomal RNA". It matches the Rfam family "Bacterial small subunit ribosomal RNA", at positions 27 to 507 of the family's 1533-position model. The record is from RNAcentral.
GGACGAACGCUGGCGGCGUGCUUAACACAUGCAAGUCGAACGAAGAGCGAUGGAAGCUUGCUUCUAUCAAUCUUAGUGGCGAACGGGUGAGUAACGCGUAAUCAACCUGCCCUUCAGAGGGGGACAACAGUUGGAAACGACUGCUAAUACCGCAUACGAUCUAAUCUCGGCAUCGAGGAUAGAUGAAAGGUGGCCUCUACAUGUAAGCUAUCACUGAAGGAGGGGAUUGCGUCUGAUUAGCUAGUUGGAGGGGUAACGGCCCACCAAGGCGAUGAUCAGUAGCCGGUCUGAGAGGAUGAACGGCCACAUUGGGACUGAGACACGGCCCAGACUCCUACGGGAGGCAGCAGUGGGGAAUCUUCCGCAAUGGACGAAAGUCUGACGGAGCAACGCCGCGUGAGCGAUGACGGCCUUCGGGUUGUAAAGCUCUGUUAAUCGGGACGAAAGGACUUCUUGCGAAUAGUGAGAAGGAUUGACGGUACCGGAAUAGAAAGCCACGGCUAACUACGUG